GCCAGUGUGGUGUAGUGGUUUUGAUUCUUGGUCUAGGUCUCCAGGAGACUAGGGUUCAAAUCCCCACUCAGACA
Non-coding RNA from Phrynosoma platyrhinos (Desert horned lizard), 74 nucleotides. The record is from the annotation of a GenBank genome assembly. NCBI's taxonomy places the organism in Eukaryota, Metazoa, Chordata, Lepidosauria, Squamata, Phrynosomatidae.